This 89-nucleotide transfer RNA is filed under the name Actinomycetota bacterium. RNAcentral describes it as "Actinobacteria bacterium tRNA-Ser". It matches the Rfam family "tRNA". From Rfam's summary of the family: Transfer RNA (tRNA) molecules are approximately 80 nucleotides in length. Their secondary structure includes four short double-helical elements and three loops (D, anti-codon, and T loops). The record is from RNAcentral. Lineage: Bacteria; Bacillati; Actinomycetota.
GGAGGAUUCGCAUAGUGGCCUAGUGCGCACGAUUGGAAAUCGUGUUGGGUUAAUCACCCUCGCGGGUUCAAAUCCCGCAUCCUCCGCCA